UUUUUUUUGCCUUGUGUUCAGAUCGAUGGGAAGUGGCUCUUGUCUAAGUUUGGUCUAGUCCCAAAUAAAACUUUGGCAUAUAUUAUGACUCUAUGGAAUCAACAUCUUAGCCAAACUCUUCAAAAGAAAUGGAUUCCAAGCAUCAAAGAUGCGUAUGUG
This is a non-coding RNA of Camelina sativa (false flax), 159 nucleotides long. The record is from RefSeq and is a predicted model, not a curated record. Lineage: Eukaryota; Viridiplantae; Streptophyta; Magnoliopsida; Brassicales; Brassicaceae.